Molecule: ribosomal RNA, 1356 nt
Filed under: uncultured bacterium
Lineage: Bacteria
Description: bacterial SSU rRNA
Rfam family: Bacterial small subunit ribosomal RNA
Source: RNAcentral
GAACGAACGCUGGCGGCGUGCCUAACACAUGCAAGUCGAGCGCGAAAGUCCCUUCGGGGGUGAGUAGAGCGGCGGACGGGUGAGUAAUACAUAGGUAAUCUACCUUCGAGCUUGGGAUAACCCUGCGAAAGUGGGGCUAAUACCGGAUAAGACCACGUAAUUAUUUUACGGGGUAAAAGGUGGCUUAUUUUUUAAAUGAGCUAUCACUUGAGGAUGAGCCUGUGGCCUAUCAGCUUGUUGGUGGGGUAAGAGCCUACCAAGGCUAUGACGGGUAGCUGGUCUGAGAGGACGACUAGCCACACUGGGACUGAGACACGGCCCAGACUCCUACGGGAGGCAGCAGUGGGGAAUAUUGGGCAAUGGGCGAAAGCCUGACCCAGCGACGCCGCGUGGGCGAUGAAGGCCUUCGGGUUGUAAAGCCCUGUCAUGCGGAAAGAACGACCCUGCGACGCAUAAUCGCAGGGAGUGACGGUACCGCAGGAGGAAGCACCGGCUAACUCCGUGCCAGCAGCCGCGGUAAUACGGAGGGUGCAAGCGUUGUUCGGAAUUAUUGGGCGUAAAGGGCGCGUAGGCGGUAAUGCUAGUCAGAUGUGAAAUACUCCGGCUCAACCGGGGAACUGCAUCUGAAACUGCAUAACUAGAGUACAGAAGAGGGAAACGGAAUUCCCGGUGUAGAGGUGAAAUUCGUAGAUAUCGGGAGGAACACCAGUGGCGAAGGCGGUUUCCUGGUCUGAUACUGACGCUGAGGCGCGAAAGUGUGGGGAGCAAACAGGAUUAGAUACCCUGGUAGUCCACACUGUAAACGGUGAACACUAGGUGUGGGAGGUGUAAUACCUUCCGUGCCGUAGCUAACGCGUUAAGUGUUCCGCCUGGGAAGUACGGCCGCAAGGUUGAAACUCAAAGGAAUUGACGGGGGCCCGCACAAGCGGUGGAGCAUGUGGUUUAAUUCGACGCAACGCGAAAAACCUUACCAACCCUUGACAUGGGUAUCGCGGGACCAGAGAUGGUCCUUUCAGUUCGGCUGGAUACCACACAGGUGCUGCAUGGCUGUCGUCAGCUCGUGUCGUGAGAUGUUCGGUUAAGUCCGGCAACGAGCGCAACCCACACUUUCAGUUGCCAUCAUUCAGUUGGGCACUCUGGAAGAACUGCCGGUGAUAAGCCGGAGGAAGGUGUGGAUGACGUCAAGUCCUCAUGGCCCUUACGGGUUGGGCUACACACGUGCUACAAUGGUGGUGACAAUGAGCUAAUCUCAAAAAGCCAUCUCAGUUCGGAUUGUCGCCUGCAACUCGGCGGCAUGAAGUCGGAAUCGCUAGUAAUCGCGUAACAGCAUGACGCGGUGAAUACGUUCCCGGGCCU